Molecule: transfer RNA, 73 nt
Filed under: Virgibacillus phasianinus
Lineage: Bacteria; Bacillati; Bacillota; Bacilli; Caryophanales; Bacillaceae
Description: tRNA-Ala
Rfam family: tRNA
About the family: Transfer RNA (tRNA) molecules are approximately 80 nucleotides in length. Their secondary structure includes four short double-helical elements and three loops (D, anti-codon, and T loops).
Source: RNAcentral
GGGGCAUUAGUUCAGCUGGGAGAACGCUUGCAUGGCAUGCAAGAGGUCAGCGGUUCGAGCCCGCUAUGCUCCA